ACUGUGAUGAUGACUUAUGCAUACCGCCCCAGUCUGACUUUGAUAUGACUGAAUGGUAAUGACUCUGAUGCACU
Small nucleolar RNA from Aplysia californica (California sea hare), 74 nucleotides. Lineage: Eukaryota; Metazoa; Mollusca; Gastropoda; Aplysiida; Aplysiidae. The record is from RefSeq and is a predicted model, not a curated record.